RNAcentral lists this ribosomal RNA (253 nucleotides) under uncultured bacterium. Its description in RNAcentral is "partial 16S ribosomal RNA". It matches the Rfam family "Bacterial small subunit ribosomal RNA", at positions 524 to 776 of the family's 1533-position model. The record is from RNAcentral.
UACGUAGGGGGCAAGCGUUGUCCGGAUUUAUUGGGCGUAAAGAGCUCGUAGGCGGCCUGUUGCGUCCGCUGUGAAAGCCCGGGGCUUAACCCCGGGUCGGCAGUGGAUACGGGCAGGCUAGAGGUAGGUAGGGGAGAAUGGAAUUCCCGGUGUAGCGGUGAAAUGCGCAGAUAUCAGGAGGAACACCGAUGGCGAAGGCAGGUCUCUGGGCCAUAACUGACGCUGAGAAGCGAAAGCAUGGGGAGCGAACAGG